RNAcentral lists this transfer RNA (72 nucleotides) under Candidatus Pacearchaeota archaeon CG1_02_35_32. Its description in RNAcentral is "tRNA-Asp". It matches the Rfam family "tRNA". Rfam says of the family: Transfer RNA (tRNA) molecules are approximately 80 nucleotides in length. Their secondary structure includes four short double-helical elements and three loops (D, anti-codon, and T loops). The record is from RNAcentral. RNAcentral also lists the same sequence under 6 other names. Lineage: Archaea; Nanobdellati.
GCCCUGGUAGUUUAGUGGCUAAAACAUGGCCCUGUCGCGGCCAAGUCCCGGGUUCGAUUCCCGGUCAGGGCG